ACUUUUGAGAACUUUAAAAGAUGCCUACCACCAUUUGUCUCUCAUGAAGAUGUGAACUGUGACUGGAAACAGCUCAGUCUCUCACAGCUAUGGAAUCCCUGAGGCACCAUGUACGAAUUCCAAGGCUAUUAUGCAUUGAGGAAACCCAGUUCACAAUGGGAAGAAGAAAGGAGGAGACGUUUCUACUUUCCCUAUGUUUAGGGUUGGCUUUUCCCACUUAAAUCAGAAGAAACCAUUUUUCCAC
This is a long non-coding RNA of Cercocebus atys (sooty mangabey), 244 nucleotides long. RefSeq lists it as uncharacterized. Lineage: Eukaryota; Metazoa; Chordata; Mammalia; Primates; Cercopithecidae. The transcript has 3 exons. The record is from RefSeq and is a predicted model, not a curated record.